GCUGCUGUGGCUCAGUUGGUAGAGCAGCUGAUUCGUAAUCAGCAGGUCAGCGGUUCAAAUCCGCUCAGCAGCUCCA
This 76-nucleotide transfer RNA is filed under the name Bacillota bacterium. RNAcentral describes it as "tRNA-Thr". It matches the Rfam family "tRNA". Rfam says of the family: Transfer RNA (tRNA) molecules are approximately 80 nucleotides in length. Their secondary structure includes four short double-helical elements and three loops (D, anti-codon, and T loops). RNAcentral also lists the same sequence under 2 other names. Lineage: Bacteria; Bacillati; Bacillota. The record is from RNAcentral.